AUUGAACGCUGGCGGAAUGCUUUACACACGCAAGUCGAACGGCAGCACGGACUUCGGUCUGGUGGCGAGUGGCGAACGGGUGAGUAAUGUAUCGGAACGUGCCCAGUUGUGGGGGAUAACGUAGUGAAAAUUACGCUAAUACCGCAUACGAUCUAUGGAUGAAAGCGGGGGAUCGCAAGACCUCGCGCGAUUGGAGCGGCCGAUAUCAGAUUAGGUAGUUGGUGGGGUAAAGGCCCACCAAGCCAACGAUCUGUAGCGGGUCUGAGAGGACGACCAGCCACACUGGAACUGAGACACGGUCCAGACUCCUACGGGAGGCAGCAGUGGGGAAUUUUGGACAAUGGGCGAAAGCCUGAUCCAGCCAUUCCGCGUGCAGGAUGAAGGCCCUCGGGUUGUAAACUGCUUUUGUACAGAACGAAAAGGUUUCUACUAAUACUAGGAGCUCAUGACGGUACUGUAAGAAUAAGCACCGGCUAACUACGUGCCAGCAGCCGCCGUAA
RNAcentral lists this ribosomal RNA (500 nucleotides) under uncultured bacterium. RNAcentral's name for it is "partial 16S ribosomal RNA". It matches the Rfam family "Bacterial small subunit ribosomal RNA", at positions 30 to 523 of the family's 1533-position model. The record is from RNAcentral.